UGUGAUAGAAAAAGUUCAAUUUCUCUGCCCUCAAUUUACACUAUCUCGGACACUUAUAUUACCCAACCUUUUUAAAAUAAGAAUUGCUCGAAAAGAAUCAAGAUUUGUGAGAGCUGCAGACUGUAGUAGAAUAGUGAUCAGGCAAUGGAGGACAACUAGGUUAUUUCUCACUCCAGGCAACUUCUUUUUCAAUACUAUCAUAUUAAACAGGGAUAAUGGUUGAUGGCAACCAAUAAAAUACUGGUUUAGAAUGUAGAGACUAAGGGAAAUCAAGAAAGCUAGGAGGUUUUAUUGAAUAUUCUCUUCCUAUGCUGGAUCAGUGGAACUCAAAAGUAAAGAGGAGGAAUGGUAGUAUGUGAGUUUCAAUGUGGCCCUUUGGGCCCUCCAUAAAAUAUUGACACAUCUAGGGCAGGACCAUCACUAUCCAAAUGCAUUAGACUCUGGCGUUUUGUUCUGAGUAGAAAGGGAUUUCUUCUAUCGGCAGUUUUUCAUAGGGAAAGAGCUCAUAAGCACUUGAUGGAUGAUGAAGACGAUGAGAAUCUAAAGUGCAAUCAUUCUUCAAGUAACACUACAUUUUUUAGUAAUUAAAUAUAUGA
Molecule: long non-coding RNA, 596 nt
Organism: Glycine soja
Lineage: Eukaryota; Viridiplantae; Streptophyta; Magnoliopsida; Fabales; Fabaceae
Exons: 3
Source: RefSeq, a predicted model, not a curated record